GCCGGAUCAGCCUGAAGGCGCCCGAUCUCGUCUGAUCUCGGAAGCUAGGCAGGGUCGGGCCUGGUUAGUAUCUUGGAUGGGAGACCACCUGGGAAUCCCGGGUGCUCGAGGCU
RNAcentral lists this ribosomal RNA (113 nucleotides) under Bison bison bison. The record is from RNAcentral. Lineage: Eukaryota; Metazoa; Chordata; Mammalia; Artiodactyla; Bovidae.